GUUGGAAAUAAUGAAGGCUGAGACUCAUUUCUAAACUCUUCCAUAACCAUCACCAGAAGAGCAGCCACUGUGUUGUGUGAUGUAGGCUAAUGCCUCCCAGAUAGAGGUAAAGUCACAAGGACUAUUAGAAUUCCAGUGGAUUGUGGAACUGGUUUUGGAUUAUCCUUAUAUUUUCAUUCUGAUUACUGAGGCAGUUCUGAAAACUCCUACCAUUGAAAUAGUGGUGUGUCUUUUCCUUGUUUAAGGAUUUUACAUCAUUUUUAUGCACUUGAAUUCCAAAAUCAGAAUCUCUCUUUUACCUAUCAACCUUUAUUGGCUAUUGGCUUUUGGCAAUGACCUUUCUGUUCAAAUGUAGUCCUGUCUCUUUGUUUCCUUAGGGAGUAGAACCUGUCCUUUUUCUCAUCUUUCAUUUUUUUGACGUGUCCUUUCUAAGAGAAGGCUCUCUGCCGCCUGUUCUGGGUGAUAAGUGAUAUUUUCAUCUAAUCGUUAUGUGGUUGGGAUGAUCAUGGUGAAAUACUAGGAAGACAUACUCUGUUGAUGGACUUUUUCUCUCCAAAUAAUCCCAAAUAGAUUAUUUUCUAGUGAAUGGUUUAUAUCUUUCUCGUCACAAAAAUGUUCCUUUGAUUUCUAGCACAAGGUACAGCAGGAUGCAAAUGAUUCUCAGAUAAAAUGAUGUUGACAGUAUUUCCUUAACAAUUUAUGUAAAACUAUGCAUAAUUUUCAUUCUAACUUUUGACAUUUUUCUCCAUAAAUAAAAGUAAUGCCUGAUGUUUAGUUAAAGUAGA
This 785-nucleotide long non-coding RNA is filed under the name Homo sapiens (human). RNAcentral describes it as "non-protein coding lnc-C13orf42-2:1". Lineage: Eukaryota; Metazoa; Chordata; Mammalia; Primates; Hominidae. The record is from RNAcentral.